GAGGGAAACUACGCUCGAGAUCCACAGGAGGAAGUGGCGACACGGAGCGGUGCUGUGAAGUUUGGCCGUCAAAGAGUAAUUGAUGGCGAUUGCUGUGGACGCCAACCUACAGGCUGUGGACAAGACUGGGUCUACACUGGGAAGCUCCGGGGGAGAAAGGGAGGGGUGAACGGGCUUCACCCCACACUGAGUUAAGUGCCACUUUACUGCACGCAACCCAUCGGCGCAGCUUACCUUUUUUUACCUGUUUUUUUUAUGUUAACCAGGACUGAUAUGGCAAAUGCCUGAUAAGGCAUAUAUGUUUUUUUUUCUUGUUAGUUGGUUUUUUGCAGUGAUUUGCAUGGGUUGUUUUUGUGUUUUCUUUAAUAAAUUUCUGUAGUAUUGGCCUACCCUUUUUGUGAGACUGGUUUGGUUAUGGAUUUUGAACUGGAUAACUGAGGGCGUGUUGUCUCCACUACAGUCCCCAGAGUGGACGGCGCCAGGGCCGUGCUGCUGAGGCCGUGGAUGAUGUGCCUGAGGGGGCGAUGCGCCUGGACAGUGCCAGACAACAAUAAACCGGAUCCUGGUCAAAAACUACAACAUACACAGAGUGUUGAGGCAGGGGCACUGACGGGGAAAAGGAUAGCACAUGUUAAAUAACCGCCAUUAAUCAACACUGACUGAGUAGUAAACUACUUUGGGUGCAAAAUGGGAUGAAUGCUGCUGUAAGAAAUUGUUUCAGUGGAUUGUAAUUUUUUUAUUAAUAAAUUAUGCUUUGGGGA
This is a long non-coding RNA of Melanotaenia boesemani (Boeseman's rainbowfish), 761 nucleotides long. RefSeq lists it as uncharacterized. The transcript is spliced from 3 exons. The record is from RefSeq and is a predicted model, not a curated record. Lineage: Eukaryota; Metazoa; Chordata; Actinopteri; Atheriniformes; Melanotaeniidae.